UUGGUUUAUGGAGAAAAUGAACAGGAAUAAACAAAACCAGAUCAACGAAUCCCUCUUCCACAAACCCAUUCCCAGAAAAGCCACCAAGAUAUGAAACCCCAAAUAGCCCCAAGCAACCGCCGCUGCAGAUCAUAACUUCAAAAUCCAGAUAAGCCCCUACACGAUCUAAAGCCACCGGACUUUUCUAUGAAUAGAUCGGAAAUCAGAUUUUCGGGAAAGUCCUAGAUUAGCCGCCUAAAAAGCAUGAGUAGCACCUAGCAUGAAACGAAUAAACUCGUUAGCGAAAGAGAUGAGGAAAUAAUUUUAGAGAGAAAUGAGAUUCUGAGAACUUACACGAUGCGAGGUUUCAUUUGAUGAAGAGCGAGAGUGUGGUCGACGGUUUCAUUUGAUGAAGAAUUGAAGAGCGAGAGGUUGAGAGUGAUGAAGAGCCAGAUCUUUUCGGCUCUCAUUCUCUCUUUCUCUUUCUGGAUAUAUAGUGACUGAUAAUACAUAGCCUAGAUCUGUCUUGUAUUUACUUUUUAUGCCUUAGCCAGUUAAGG
Molecule: long non-coding RNA, 539 nt
Filed under: Panax ginseng (ginseng)
Lineage: Eukaryota; Viridiplantae; Streptophyta; Magnoliopsida; Apiales; Araliaceae
Description: long non-coding RNA (PGIN_LNC010714)
Source: RNAcentral